This 274-nucleotide ribosomal RNA is filed under the name uncultured bacterium. Its description in RNAcentral is "partial 16S ribosomal RNA". It matches the Rfam family "Bacterial small subunit ribosomal RNA", at positions 523 to 796 of the family's 1533-position model. The record is from RNAcentral.
AUACGGAGGGUGCGAGCGUUGUUCGGAAUUACUGGGCGUAAAGGGCGCGCAGGCGGCUUGAUAAGUCAGAUGUGAAAGCCCACGGCUCAACCGUGGAAGUGCAUCUGAAACUGUCUGGCUUGAGUACUGGAGAGGAAAGUGGAAUUCCUGGUGUAGAGGUGAAAUUCGUAGAUAUCAGGAGGAACACCGGUGGCGAAGGCGACUUUCUGGACAGAUACUGACGCUGAGGCGCGAAAGCGUGGGGAGCAAACAGGAUUAGAUACCCCGGUAGUCC